RNAcentral lists this ribosomal RNA (502 nucleotides) under uncultured bacterium. Its description in RNAcentral is "partial 16S ribosomal RNA". It matches the Rfam family "Bacterial small subunit ribosomal RNA", at positions 28 to 523 of the family's 1533-position model. The record is from RNAcentral.
GAUGAACGCUAGCGGCAGGCUUAAUACAUGCAAGUCGAGGGGCAGCAUGGUGUAGCAGUACACUGAUGGCGACCGGCAAACGGGUGCGGAACACGUACGCAACUUACCCAAAACUGGGGAAUAGCCCGGGGAAACCCGGAUUAAUACCUCGUAACAUAAUGAAGUGGCAUCACUUUAUUAUUAUAGCUCCGGCGGUUUUGGAUGGGCGUGCGCCUGAUUAGGUAGUUGGCGGGGUAAUAGCCCACCAAGCCUACGAUCAGUAACUGGUGUGAGAGCACGACCAGUCACACGGGCACUGAGACACGGGCCCGACUCCUACGGGAGGCAGCAGUAAGGAAUAUUGGUCAAUGGACGCAAGUCUGAACCAGCCAUGCCGCGUGAAGGAUGAAGGUCCUCUGGAUUAUAAACUUCUUUUAUAUGGGAAGAAAUCCAUCUUUUCUUGGGUGGUUGACGGUACCAUAGGAAUAAGCACCGGCUAACUCCGUGCCAGCCGCCGCGGUAA